RNAcentral lists this ribosomal RNA (668 nucleotides) under uncultured Gammaproteobacteria bacterium. RNAcentral describes it as "bacterial SSU rRNA". It matches the Rfam family "Bacterial small subunit ribosomal RNA", at positions 92 to 793 of the family's 1533-position model. The record is from RNAcentral. Lineage: Bacteria; Pseudomonadati; Pseudomonadota; Gammaproteobacteria.
AUAGUGGCGGACGGGUGAGUAACGCGUGGGAAUCUACCCAGUAGUGGGGGACAACUACCGGAAACGGUAGCUAAUACCGCAUACGCCCUAUGGGGGAAAGGCUUCGGCCGCUAUUGGAUGAGCCCGCGUCAGAUUAGCUAGUUGGUAGGGUAAAGGCCUACCAAGGCAACGAUCUGUAGCUGGUCUGAGAGGACGAACAGCCACACUGGGACUGAGACACGGCCCAGACUCCUACGGGAGGCAGCAGUGGGGAAUAUUGGACAAUGGGCGAAAGCCUGAUCCAGCAAUGCCGCGUGUGUGAAGAAGGCCUGCGGGUUGUAAAGCACUUUCAGUUGGGAAGAUGAUGACGUUACCAACAGAAGAAGCACCGGCUAAAUCCGUGCCAGCAGCCGCGGUAAUACGGAUGGUGCGAGCGUUAAUCGGAAUUACUGGGCGUAAAGCGCGCGUAGGCGGCUAAGUCAGUCAGAAGUGAAAGCCCCGGGCUCAACCUGGGAAUUGCUUUUGAUACUGCUUAGCUAGAGUUUGGUAGAGGAUAGUGGAAUUCCAGGUGUAGCGGUGAAAUGCGUAGAUAUCUGGUGGAACAUCAGUGGCGAAGGCGACUGUCUGGACCAAAACUGACGCUGAGGUGCGAAAGCGUGGGUAGCAAACAGGAUUAGAUACCCUGGUAG